Molecule: transfer RNA, 72 nt
Filed under: Saccoglossus kowalevskii
Lineage: Eukaryota; Metazoa; Hemichordata; Enteropneusta; Harrimaniidae
Description: tRNA-Gln
Rfam family: tRNA
About the family: Transfer RNA (tRNA) molecules are approximately 80 nucleotides in length. Their secondary structure includes four short double-helical elements and three loops (D, anti-codon, and T loops).
Source: RNAcentral
GGCUCUAUGGUGUAAUGGUUAGCACUCUGGACUCUGAAUCCAGCGAUCGGAGUUCAAAUCUCGGUAGGACCU